Non-coding RNA from Paramuricea clavata, 204 nucleotides. The record is from the annotation of a GenBank genome assembly. NCBI's taxonomy places the organism in Eukaryota, Metazoa, Cnidaria, Anthozoa, Malacalcyonacea, Plexauridae.
GGGGAAGUUGCAAAAAGACGAACCAUAGCAUUGGUGAGGAAAUUAUUUAAUGAAAAAGAUAGAGAGAAACGGGAACAAAAUAUUGCGACAAUUGCACAAAUGGUUGUCGCUAGAAAUGAUAAACAAUCACAAAUAAAUAGAUUAGCUGAAAUGGUUAAGAAAACAAAAACUUUAUAUAAAGAAAAACGUAGUUAUAAUAUAGAG